GCUGGGCAUGGUGGUGCGUGCCUGUAGUCCCAGCUACUCAGGAGGCUGAGGUAGGAGAAUCUCUUGAACCCAGGAGGCGGAGUUUGCAGUGAGCUCAGAUUGGACCACUGCACUCCAGCCUGGGUAACAGAGUCAGAUCCUGUCUCAA
Molecule: non-coding RNA, 148 nt
Filed under: Homo sapiens (human)
Lineage: Eukaryota; Metazoa; Chordata; Mammalia; Primates; Hominidae
Source: Rfam by way of RNAcentral